AGUGAACGCUGGCGGUAGGCCUAACACAUGCAAGUCGAACGGCAGCACAGUAAGAGCUUGCUCUUACGGGUGGCGAGUGGCGGACGGGUGAGGAAUACAUCGGAAUCUACUUUUUCGUGGGGGAUAACGUAGGGAAACUUACGCUAAUACCGCAUACGACCUACGGGUGAAAGCAGGGGAUCUUCGGACCUUGCGCGAUUGAAUGAGCCGAUGUCGGAUUAGCUAGUUGGCGGGGUAAAGGCCCACCAAGGCGACGAUCCGUAGCUGGUCUGAGAGGAUGAUCAGACACAGUGGAACUGAGACACGGUCCAGACUCCUACGGGAGGCAGCAGUGGGGAAUAUUGGACAAAGGGCGCAAGCCUGAUCCAGCCAUACCGCGUGGGUGAAGAAGGCCUUCGGGUUGUAAAGCCCUUUUGUUGGGAAAGAAAAGCAGCAGGUUAAUACCCCGCUGUUCUGACGGUACCCAAAGAAUAAGCACCGGCUAACUUCGUG
This 492-nucleotide ribosomal RNA is filed under the name uncultured bacterium. RNAcentral's name for it is "partial 16S ribosomal RNA". It matches the Rfam family "Bacterial small subunit ribosomal RNA", at positions 29 to 507 of the family's 1533-position model. The record is from RNAcentral.